CCAGGCGGCCGGGCGAUCGCGGCGAUCCUCAUGGGAUCGGCGAGGAAAGUCCGGGCUCCACGAAACGGCGGUGCCGGAUAACGUCCGGCGGUUCCUGCGCAAGCGGGGGUCAGGGAAAGUGCAACAGAGAGCAGGUCACGUCUGUCUUCGGACUAGGGCUUCGGCCGCGUGAAAAGUGAAAGGGUGCGGCAAGAGCGCACCGCGCGCCCGGCAACGGGAGCGGCACGGCAAACCCCACCGGGAGCAAGACCGAAUAGGGGCGGCACGCGGCGCAAGCCGCAGGGCAUGUUUCGGCCCGACCGCCCGGGUUGGUUGCUUGAGGCCGUUCGAGAGAACGGUCCUAGAGGAAUGAUCGCCCAUCCGCCCGCGCGUCCCCUUGGGGAUACGGCGGCGGUGGACAGAACCCGGCUUACAGGCCGCCUGGCAUU
Molecule: non-coding RNA, 428 nt
Organism: Sphingobium sp. SYK-6
Lineage: Bacteria; Pseudomonadati; Pseudomonadota; Alphaproteobacteria; Sphingomonadales; Sphingobiaceae
Rfam family: Bacterial RNase P class A
About the family: Ribonuclease P (RNase P) is a ubiquitous endoribonuclease, found in archaea, bacteria and eukarya as well as chloroplasts and mitochondria. Its best characterised activity is the generation of mature 5'-ends of tRNAs by cleaving the 5'-leader elements of precursor-tRNAs. Cellular RNase Ps are ribonucleoproteins.
Source: Rfam